RNAcentral lists this ribosomal RNA (253 nucleotides) under uncultured bacterium. Its description in RNAcentral is "partial 16S ribosomal RNA". It matches the Rfam family "Bacterial small subunit ribosomal RNA", at positions 524 to 776 of the family's 1533-position model. The record is from RNAcentral.
UACGUAGGUGGCAAGCGUUGUCCGGAUUUAUUGGGCGUAAAGCGCGCGCAGGCGGUUCGUUUAGUCCGAGGUGAAAUCUCCCGGCUCAACUGGGAGGGGUCUUCGGAUACUGGCGGACUUGAGGAGAGCAGAGGUGAGUGGAAUUCUCGGUGUAGUGGUGAAAUGCGUAGAUAUCGAGAGGAACACCAGUGGCGAAGGCGGCUCACUGGGCUCCACCUGACGCUGAGGCGCGAAAGCGUGGGGAGCGAACCGG